UGCAGUUUCUGCAUACACACACUGCCAGGUCUCCAUGUCUGGCCCCCUGAGCCAGCUCUCCCUCCCCCGUCCCUCCCUGAUCCCUCUCUCUCCUCCUAGUCUCCGCCUCCUGCCCCCCCUCGGCCUUUUUACUCACCACAGCACCUGUUCACUACCACACACACUACUCCCCUCACAAAGGUGACCAACAUCUCAAGUUGGGAGAAGCUGGGCCUUUCUUCCUUGACGCCGCUGGCUACCUAGCUCGAUCGUGUUUUCUUGCACGCUAGCCCAACGAAGCCAUGAUGGAGCUCGCGAUGGAGAGGAGGAGCUCUGCGACAAUCAAGCAGCCCCGUGAGCUUCAGAUGUUCACAUGGAAUGACGAAACACAUGCAUCUUGGCCGCCAGGAGCAUUGGUUCAGAUGGUUCAUGCUUAGCCCUGUCACGGUGUUAUCCUAAUUGAGCUUUUCAUUCAGCCAUCAUUCUCAUCAUUCUUCACAUUCUUGCCAUCGCAACGUUUAGAGUCUUGCAAGAUCGAGUCUUCUUGACCUUGCAAGACCUUUUCUUGACUUUGUAAGACCCAAUGUUGUGAUGGUUCUUCUCUUUGACUCGAUCCUCUCUACCUCGCAUCUUCCUCCUCAUUCUUCAGUCCUUCCUCUAUCUAUCCCUCUUGAGCUGCGUUCCUAAGUUUAGUGGUAGUGGUAGCUAGAUUUCAGUAUACUAUAAUUUGAUCUUCAGCGAGAAGUGAACGGUGUGGUGCUUCUCAUAAUACAGUCAUGUGUACUGCUGUGUGAGGUGUGAACUCAUCGUGUAAAACCAUCCCUUCCAACAUAUAUUUUGCUUUGAUUGUAGAGUGUAGUAGAUGAGACACAAAAGCAUGUUCCUGUUGCACCAUGAUGCUCAGGCAUGUGAAGUAGGCUCCUACUUGUAAGCUAGCUUCGUAUGUAUCCCAUCAGUGGAAUAAGUAGGGUGUGUGUGCUUGAAACAUUUUGGAUCCAUGUGCUUUCUUACUAUUGAGAACUGCUCAUUUUGGUACCGCACGCAA
Panicum virgatum (switchgrass) is the source of this 1024-nucleotide long non-coding RNA. RefSeq lists it as uncharacterized. The record is from RefSeq and is a predicted model, not a curated record. The transcript has 3 exons. Lineage: Eukaryota; Viridiplantae; Streptophyta; Magnoliopsida; Poales; Poaceae.